This 497-nucleotide ribosomal RNA is filed under the name uncultured bacterium. RNAcentral's name for it is "partial 16S ribosomal RNA". It matches the Rfam family "Bacterial small subunit ribosomal RNA", at positions 28 to 507 of the family's 1533-position model. The record is from RNAcentral.
GAUGAACGCUGGCGGCGUGCCUAAUACAUGCAAGUCGAGCGAACAGACGAGGAGCUUGCUCCUCUGAUGUUAGCGGCGGACGGGUGAGUAACACGUGGAUAACCUACCUAUAAGACUGGGAUAACUUCGGGAAACCGGAGCUAAUACCGGAUAAUAUAUUGAACCGCAUGGUUCAAUAGUGAAAGACGGUUUUGCUGUCACUUAUAGAUGGAUCCGCGCCGCAUUAGCUAGUUGGUAAGGUAACGGCUUACCAAGGCAACGAUGCGUAGCCGGCCUGAGAGGGUGAUCGGCCACACUGGAACUGAGACACGGUCCAGACUCCUACGGGAGGCAGCAGUAGGGAAUCUUCCGCAAUGGGCGAAAGCUUGACGGAGCAACGCCGCGUGAGUGAUGAAGGUCUUCGGAUCGUAAAACUCUGUUAUUAGGGAAGAACAAAUGUGUAAGUAACUAUGCACGUCUUGACGGUACCUAAUCAGAAAGCCACGGCUAACUACGUG